UAGGAUAUAGCUUAGUUGGUAGAGUGCUUGCCUUGCAUGCACAAGGCCCUGGGUUCAAUCCUCAGCACCAUAA
This 73-nucleotide transfer RNA is filed under the name Ictidomys tridecemlineatus (thirteen-lined ground squirrel). RNAcentral describes it as "Spermophilus tridecemlineatus (thirteen-lined ground squirrel) tRNA". It matches the Rfam family "tRNA". From Rfam's summary of the family: Transfer RNA (tRNA) molecules are approximately 80 nucleotides in length. Their secondary structure includes four short double-helical elements and three loops (D, anti-codon, and T loops). Further hydrogen bonds mediate the characteristic L-shaped molecular structure. tRNAs have two regions of fundamental functional importance: the anti-codon, which is responsible for specific mRNA codon recognition, and the 3' end, to which the tRNAs corresponding amino acid is attached (by aminoacyl-tRNA synthetases). tRNAs cope with the degeneracy of the genetic code in two manners: having more than one tRNA (with a specific anti-codon) for a particular amino acid; and 'wobble' base-pairing, i.e. permitting non-standard base-pairing at the 3rd anti-codon position. Lineage: Eukaryota; Metazoa; Chordata; Mammalia; Rodentia; Sciuridae. The record is from Rfam by way of RNAcentral.